UACCAGACUCCUACGGGAGGCAGCAGUGGGGAAUAUUGCACAAUGGGGGAAACCCUGAUGCAGCGACGCCGCGUGGGUGAAGAAGCGCCUCGGCGCGUAAAGCCCUGUCAGCAGGGAAGAAAAUGACGGUACCUGAAGAAGAAGCCCCGGCUAACUACGUGCCAGCAGCCGCGGUAAUACGUAUGGUGCAAGCGUUAUCCGGAUUUACUGGGUGUAAAGGGAGCGUAGGCGGCGCGUUAAGUCUGAUGUGAAAACCCGAGGCUCAACCACGGGAGUGCAUUGGAAACUGGCGGGCUGGAGUGCCGGAGAGGUAAGCGGAAUUCCUAGUGUAGCGGUGAAAUGCGUAGAUAUUAGGAGGAACACCAGUGGCGAAGGCGGCUUACUGGACGGCAACUGACGCUGAGGCUCGAAAGCGUGGGGAGCAAACAGGAUUAGAUACCCCAGUA
This 446-nucleotide ribosomal RNA is filed under the name uncultured bacterium. Its description in RNAcentral is "bacterial SSU rRNA". It matches the Rfam family "Bacterial small subunit ribosomal RNA", at positions 329 to 792 of the family's 1533-position model. The record is from RNAcentral.